GACGAACGCUGGCGGCGUGCUUAACACAUGCAAGUCGAACGGAAAGGCCCUGCUUUUGUGGGGUGCUCGAGUGGCAAACGGGUGAGUAACACGUGAGUAACCUGCCCUUGACUUUGGGAUAACUUCAGGAAACUGGGGCUAAUACCGGAUAGGAGCUCCUGCUGCAUGGUGGGGGUUGGAAAGUUUCGGCGGUUGGGGAUGGACUCGCGGCUUAUCAGCUUGUUGGUGGGGUAGUGGCUUACCAAGGCUUUGACGGGUAGCCGGCCUGAGAGGGUGACCGGCCACAUUGGGACUGAGAUACGGCCCAGACUCCUACGGGAGGCAGCAGUGGGGAAUAUUGCACAAUGGGCGGAAGCCUGAUGCAGCAACGCCGCGUGCGGGAUGACGGCCUUCGGGUUGUAAACCGCUUUCGCCUGUGACGAAGCGUGAGUGACGGUAAUGGGUAAAGAAGCACCGGCUAACUACGUGCCAGCAGCCGCGGUGAUACGUAGGGUGCGAGCGUUGUCCGGAUUUAUUGGGCGUAAAGGGCUCGUAGGUGGUUGAUCGCGUCGGAAGUGUAAUCUUGGGGCUUAACCCUGAGCGUGCUUUCGAUACGGGUUGACUUGAGGAAGGUAGGGGAGAAUGGAAUUCCUGGUGGAGCGGUGGAAUGCGCAGAUAUCAGGAGGAACACCAGUGGCGAAGGCGGUUCUCUGGGCCUUUCCUGACGCUGAGGAGCGAAAGCGUGGGGAGCGAACAGGCUUAGAUACCCUGGUAGUCCACGCUGUAAACGGUGGGUACUAGGUGUGGGGUCCAUUCCACGGGUUCCGUGCCGUAGCUAACGCUUUAAGUACCCCGCCCGGGGAGUACGGCCGCAAGGCUAAAACUCAAAGGAAUUGACGGGGCCCCGCACAAGCGGCGGAGCAUGCGGAUUAAUUCGAUGCAACGCGUAGAACCUUACCUGGGUUUGACAUGGAUCGGGAGUGCUCAGAGAUGGGUGUGCCUCUUUUGGGGUCGGUUCACAGGUGGUGCACGGCUGUCGUCAGCUCGUGUCGUGAGAUGUUGGGUUAAGUCCCGCAACGAGCGCAACCCUUGUUCACUGUUGCCAGCACGUUAUGGUGGGGACUCAGUGGAGACCGCCGGGGUCAGCUCGGAGGAAGGUGGGGAUGACGUCAAGUCAUCAUGCCCCUUAUGUCCAGGGCUUCACGCAUGCUACAAUGGCUGGUACAGAGAGUGGCGAGCCUGUGAGGGUGAGCGAAUCUCGGAAAGCCGGUCUCAGUUCGGAUUGAGGUCUGCAACUCGACCUCAUGAAGUCGGAGUCGCUAGUAAUCGCAGAUCAGCAACGCUGCGGUGAAUACGUUCCCGGG
Molecule: ribosomal RNA, 1343 nt
Filed under: uncultured bacterium
Lineage: Bacteria
Description: 16S ribosomal RNA
Rfam family: Bacterial small subunit ribosomal RNA
Source: RNAcentral